UCCCUUGUGGCUCACCUGGUAAAGAAUCUGCCUGCAAUGCAGAAGACCUGGGUUCGAUCCCUGGGUUUGGGAA
Molecule: non-coding RNA, 73 nt
Organism: Bos taurus (domestic cattle)
Lineage: Eukaryota; Metazoa; Chordata; Mammalia; Artiodactyla; Bovidae
Source: Rfam